Molecule: unclassified non-coding RNA, 208 nt
Filed under: Hevea brasiliensis (rubber tree)
Lineage: Eukaryota; Viridiplantae; Streptophyta; Magnoliopsida; Malpighiales; Euphorbiaceae
Source: RNAcentral
AAUCAGGUGGUUCAGGUCAUUUCAGUCCCUAUACAAACAUAAAACCCAAGCCCAGCCACAACUGAACCAAGCUGAAUGGAGAAAACACCAUGCCCAAACCCAACAUUUUAGCAGGCUGGUUGGGACAUCGGACCCAUGCACAUCUCCAGGAUAAACCCAGACCUCACCACCCUUGACAAAAGGAGGACCAACCCACAGUUACCCCGGG